GAUGACGUGCCCCCCGUGUCCAGUGGACGAAGCUACCGCCGAACACCCGGAGAGGAUGGCAAGUCACUGACGGAAUGUUUGCAGGGUUACCAGAUUAGGACGAAGAUAGACAGCAUUAAGCAGAAAGAAAAGUAUGCUGAUGGUUUACCAGCAGCCGCUACGAGAAAAUUUAAUGCAGGUGACUCGGUGUGGAUGCGCACUUUUGGAAGAAGUCGAAGAUGGAUUCCAGGAGCAGUGAACGACCAACAAGGUUCCAGGAUGGU
Molecule: long non-coding RNA, 263 nt
Organism: Rhipicephalus sanguineus (brown dog tick)
Lineage: Eukaryota; Metazoa; Arthropoda; Arachnida; Ixodida; Ixodidae
Exons: 2
Source: RefSeq, a predicted model, not a curated record